Molecule: RNA transcript, 502 nt
Organism: Cryptomeria japonica (Japanese cedar)
Lineage: Eukaryota; Viridiplantae; Streptophyta; Pinopsida; Cupressales; Cupressaceae
Exons: 3
Source: RefSeq, a predicted model, not a curated record
GAUACUCAUUUAGUCCAGAUAAGAAGUUUAACAGGGGGGAAAGACAGAAGUAAAGCUCAUGGUUACUUAUUUCUGUUUAUUUGCAUUACUCUUGUUCACCCAUCUCUCUGUUUGAGCCCAAGGCAGAGAAAAUUAUGACAGUCUAGAUUUUACAUUGGCUGUGAAUUAUAACAGGAAGGAAGAGAAAUGGGUGAAGCGAGAAAUAGUAAUUAUAGGAUCAAGCCCCAGACAUUGUAGAUAUAAAUGUGGGAAGUGCAGACCGUGCAGAGCAGUGCGGAUUCGCAUCGAGACAGGGAGCACAGAGGAGUAUUAUCCGGAGGUCUGGAGAUGCAAAUGUAGGGGCAAAAUUUUCAAUCCCUGAAUUAAACAAUGUAAUUCUUUGGCAUUGUUGCAUAUCAUAAUACAACUUGUAAUAAAUCCGAUAUGAUGUGUGAUAUGGGUAAUUUGUUUUUGUUUCUCGACACAAAUGUAUCGUUAAAUUCAUGAUUUAUAUGUUAUUUUU